UAGGGAAUCUUCGGCAAUGGGGGGAACCCUGACCGAGCAACGCCGCGUGAGUGAAGAAGGUUUUCGGAUCGUAAAGCCCUGUUGUUAAGGAAGAACGAGUGUGAGAAUGGAAAGUUCAUACUGUGACGGUACUUAACCAGAAAGGGACGGCUAACUACGUGCCAGCAGCCGCGGUAAUACGUAGGUCCCGAGCGUUGUCCGGAUUUAUUGGGCGUAAAGCGAGCGCAGUCGGUUAGAUAAGUCUGAAGUUAAAGGCAGUGGCUCAACCAUUGUAGGCUUUGGAAACUGUUUAACUUGAUUGCAGAAGGGGAGAGUGGAAUUCCAUGUGUAGCGUUGAAAUGCGUAGAUAUAUGGAGGAACACAGGUGGCGAAAGCGGCUCUCUGGUCUGUAACUGACGCUGAGGCUCGAAAGCGUGGGGAGCGAACAGG
Molecule: ribosomal RNA, 429 nt
Filed under: Bacteroidota bacterium
Lineage: Bacteria; Pseudomonadati; Bacteroidota
Description: Bacteroidetes bacterium partial 16S ribosomal RNA
Rfam family: Bacterial small subunit ribosomal RNA
Source: RNAcentral